GUGGGGAAUAUUGCACAAUGGGGGAAACCCUGAUGCAGCGACGCCGCGUGAGUGAAGAAGUAUUUCGGUAUGUAAAGCUCUAUCAGCAGGGAAGAAAAUGACGGUACCUGAUUAAGAAGCCCCGGCUAACUACGUGCCAGCAGCCGCGGUAAUACGUAGGGGGCAAGCGUUAUCCGGAUUUACUGGGUGUAAAGGGAGCGUAGACGGCAACACAAGUCUGAAGUGAAAUGCCGGGGCUUAACCCCGGAACUGCUUUGGAAACUGUGUAGCUAGAGUGCAGGAGAGGUAAGUGGAAUUCCUAGUGUAGCGGUGAAAUGCGUAGAUAUUAGGAGGAACACCAGUGGCGAAGGCGGCUUACUGGACUGUAACUGACGUUGAGGCUCGAAAGCGUGGGGAGCAAACAGG
RNAcentral lists this ribosomal RNA (405 nucleotides) under uncultured bacterium. RNAcentral describes it as "bacterial SSU rRNA". It matches the Rfam family "Bacterial small subunit ribosomal RNA", at positions 354 to 776 of the family's 1533-position model. The record is from RNAcentral.